RNAcentral lists this ribosomal RNA (1387 nucleotides) under Campylobacter jejuni. Its description in RNAcentral is "bacterial LSU rRNA". It matches the Rfam family "Bacterial large subunit ribosomal RNA", at positions 1 to 1412 of the family's 2925-position model. Lineage: Bacteria; Pseudomonadati; Campylobacterota; Epsilonproteobacteria; Campylobacterales; Campylobacteraceae. The record is from RNAcentral.
AGGUAAGCUACUAAGAGCGAAUGGUGGAUGCCUUGACUGGUAAAGGCGAUGAAGGACGUACUAGACUGCGAUAAGCUACGGGGAGCUGUCAAGAAGCUUUGAUCCGUAGAUUUCCGAAUGGGGCAACCCAAUGUAUAGAGAUAUACAUUACCUAUAUAGGAGCGAACGAGGGGAAUUGAAACAUCUUAGUACCCUCAGGAAAAGAAAUCAAUAGAGAUUGCGUCAGUAGCGGCGAGCGAAAGCGCAAGAGGGCAAACCCAGUGCUUGCACUGGGGGUUGUAGGACUGCAAUGUGCAAGAGCUGAGUUUAGCAGAACAUUCUGGAAAGUAUAGCCAUAGAGGGUGAUAGUCCCGUAUGCGAAAAACAAAGCUUAGCUAGCAGUAUCCUGAGUAGGGCGGGACACGAGGAAUCCUGUCUGAAUCCGGGUCGACCACGAUCCAACCCUAAAUACUAAUACCAGAUCGAUAGUGCACAAGUACCGUGAGGGAAAGGUGAAAAGAACUGAGGUGAUCAGAGUGAAAUAGAACCUGAAACCAUUUGCUUACAAUCAUUCAGAGCACUAUGUAGCAAUACAGUGUGAUGGACUGCCUUUUGCAUAAUGAGCCUGCGAGUUGUGGUGUCUGGCAAGGUUAAGCAAACGCGAAGCCGUAGCGAAAGCGAGUCUGAAUAGGGCGCUUAGUCAGAUGCUGCAGACCCGAAACGAAGUGAUCUAUCCAUGAGCAAGUUGAAGCUAGUGUAAGAACUAGUGGAGGACUGAACCCAUAGGCGUUGAAAAGCCCCGGGAUGACUUGUGGAUAGGGGUGAAAGGCCAAUCAAACUUCGUGAUAGCUGGUUCUCUCCGAAAUAUAUUUAGGUAUAGCGUUGUGUCGUAAUAUAAGGGGGUAGAGCACUGAAUGGGCUAGGGCAUACACCAAUGUACCAAACCCUAUCAAACUCCGAAUACCUUAUAUGUAAUCACAGCAGUCAGGCGGCGAGUGAUAAAAUCCGUCGUCAAGAGGGAAACAACCCAGACUACCAGCUAAGGUCCCUAAAUCUUACUUAAGUGGAAAACGAUGUGAAGUUACUUAAACAACCAGGAGGUUGGCUUAGAAGCAGCCAUCCUUUAAAGAAAGCGUAAUAGCUCACUGGUCUAGUGAUUUUGCGCGGAAAAUAUAACGGGGCUAAAGUAAGUACCGAAGCUGUAGACUUAGUUUACUAAGUGGUAGGAGAGCGUUCUAUUUGCGUCGAAGGUAUACCGGUAAGGAGUGCUGGAGCGAAUAGAAGUGAGCAUGCAGGCAUGAGUAGCGAUAAUUAAUGUGAGAAUCAUUAACGCCGUAAACCCAAGGUUUCCUACGCGAUGCUCGUCAUCGUAGGGUUAGUCGGGUCCUAAGUCGAGUCCGAAAGGGGU